This 437-nucleotide ribosomal RNA is filed under the name uncultured bacterium. RNAcentral describes it as "partial 16S ribosomal RNA". It matches the Rfam family "Bacterial small subunit ribosomal RNA", at positions 355 to 784 of the family's 1533-position model. The record is from RNAcentral.
UAGGGAAUCUUCCACAAUGGACGCAAGUCUGAUGGAGUAACGCCGCGUGAGUGAAGAAGGCUUUCGGGUCGUAAAACUCUGUUAUUGAAGAAGAACGUGUGUGACAGUAACUGGUCAUGCAGUGACGGUAUUCAAUCAGAAAGUCACGGCUAACUACGUGCCAGCAGCCGCGGUAAUACGUAGGUGGCAAGCGUUGUCCGGAUUUAUUGGGCGUAAAGCGAGUGCAGGCGGUCUUUUAAGUCUGAUGUGAAAGCCUUCGGCUUAACUGAAGAAGGGCAUCGGAAACUGGGAGACUUGAGUGCAGAAGAGGAGAGUGGAACUCCAUGUGUAGCGGUGAAAUGCGUAGAUAUAUGGAAGAACACCAGUGGCGAAGGCGGCUCUCUGGUCUGUAACUGACGCUGAGGCUCGAAAGCGUGGGUAGCAUCAAAGAUGGAGUA